CGUCUGCAGCCGAUGCGGGAUAUGUGUGGCAUGGUGCUGAUUCAGUAGGGACGGGGGGUGUUGAUGUGAGGUGGGAUGGUGGAGAUGCCCUGGCGGGAGAGCUCCGCCAGCACGCUCUCGGUGGCCGGCGGUUUCAGGCCCAAUGGCAGUGGCAUCCACGGCUUGCUUAUUGCCUCCUUCACUACCCUGUCAAUUAACUCCUCUGCCUGUAUAAUGUAUAUCAAAAAACACAAUGAAUUCUAUGGAAUGAAAUUUUAGACCUACCACCAUCUCAAUUCCUGAACAGAUAUAUGGAGUUUACCGGAUAAAGGUCAAUAGGGCUCUGUGGUAUGCCAGUGUUGUAUAUUCCACUUCCAUUAUUAUGAUCAAACCCAGAUGGAUUCUGCAUUUUCCCAAGUGAUGAUUAAUUAUUAAUGACUAAUUAGAUGUAAAUGAAUAUGAAUUCUUUCUUCACUAUAGUCAUUAAUUAUCUGGGCAUACUCACUUGAGGAAAGGAAGAGCAUGGAGUAUGUGUUGGUGUCAUCACAGGGCAGCCCCAUGCAUCGGCAUUCAUCUGAAACGUGGAUGUUUAAAGCCUUCAAUCGACAUGUUUGUAGCAUAAAAUAACAACACUAUCAAAAUUUGAAGACAGACAAAACAUUACCCCUGGAUAAGGCUUCCAAAUCCAACUUUCUGCGGGCUGCCAUGUAUGAUAGCCAGGUGUGCUCCACAUCUGAGCAGGGUGGCUGCUGGGUUGGCCCCAUACAGGGUAGAGCUGAGCAGCUGGGAGGGUGUGACUGGAAUGAUAUGGAGGGAAGGCCAUGACAGGUUUCUGUGGAUAAUAAUUCCUCUGCAUUGGGUCUCUCUGAUGAGGCCAUCUUCUAUCAUCUUCCUUUGGCAGAAUGUGUCUCCGAUGCAUUCU
RNAcentral lists this long non-coding RNA (901 nucleotides) under Vitis vinifera (wine grape). RNAcentral describes it as "long non-coding RNA (VVIN_LNC000422)". The record is from RNAcentral. Lineage: Eukaryota; Viridiplantae; Streptophyta; Magnoliopsida; Vitales; Vitaceae.